Molecule: transfer RNA, 69 nt
Filed under: Parapolybia indica
Lineage: Eukaryota; Metazoa; Arthropoda; Insecta; Hymenoptera; Vespidae
Also listed under: 1 other name
Description: tRNA-Trp
Source: RNAcentral
AAGAUUUUAAGAUAAUUAAUCUAUUAACCUUCAAAGUUAAAUAUAUAUAUAUAUAUUAUAUAAAUUUUA